UGGGGAAUAUUGGACAAUGGGCGAAAGCCUGAUCCAGCCAUGCCGCGUGUGUGAAGAAGGCCUUUUGGUUGUAAAGCACUUUAAGCGGGGAGGAAAAGCUUAUGGUUAAUACCCAUAAGCCCUGACGUUACCCACAGAAUAAGCACCGGCUAACUCUGUGCCAGCAGCCGCGGUAAUACAGAGGGUGCAAGCGUUAAUCGGAAUUACUGGGCGUAAAGCGCGCGUAGGUGGUUAUUUAAGUCAGAUGUGAAAGCCCCGGGCUUAACCUGGGAACUGCAUCUGAUACUGGAUAACUAGAGUAGGUGAGAGGGGAGUAGAAUUCCAGGUGUAGCGGUGAAAUGCGUAGAGAUCUGGAGGAAUACCGAUGGCGAAGGCAGCUCCCUGGCAUCAUACUGACACUGAGGUGCGAAAGCGUGGGUAGCAAACAGGAUUAGAUACCCUGGUAGUCCACGCCGUAAACGAUGUCUACCAGUCGUUGGGUCUUUUAAAGACUUAGUGACGCAGUUAACGCAAUAAGUAGACCGCCUGGGGAGUACGGCCGCAAGGUUA
Molecule: ribosomal RNA, 549 nt
Filed under: uncultured bacterium
Lineage: Bacteria
Description: bacterial SSU rRNA
Rfam family: Bacterial small subunit ribosomal RNA
Source: RNAcentral